AACACCUGAAGAGAAUGAAUCCCA
RNAcentral lists this non-coding RNA (24 nucleotides) under Cricetulus griseus (Chinese hamster). Lineage: Eukaryota; Metazoa; Chordata; Mammalia; Rodentia; Cricetidae. The record is from RNAcentral.